Molecule: long non-coding RNA, 574 nt
Organism: Felis catus (domestic cat)
Lineage: Eukaryota; Metazoa; Chordata; Mammalia; Carnivora; Felidae
Exons: 2
Source: RefSeq, a predicted model, not a curated record
AGCCAUACCCACCUCUGCAGUAGAAAUGAGCCGAGCUAAUAUUUAGCAGGUAUAACCUGGUACUGGCUGGGGUUCACUUCAUAGGUUGGCGCCAAAGCUGGCUAUUAAGUGUUGCAUCACCCAGUGCUCUAGCACCGGUCUCCGUUGUACAGAUUAGGAAACUGUAGCAGAUCAGACGGCUUGUCCAUGCAGAGUCUGCGUGCAAAGCCAGGUUGUCUGACUCCAGACCUGGGCACUCAGGCUGUGCGUCCGCGGCAUCCUGGACUCACUCUCGGAGGAGUGGCCAGUGAGCACUAUCCUGGCACAGAGGGCACGAGGCGAGAGCUGAACGGCCGCGCCCCGGAGCAAAUGUUGGCGUGAGUGUGCUGUCCUCCUGCAGACACCAGCCUGUCGCACGCCUGCACCCCUGCAGGCUGGUUCCGAGCGGAAAAUUAAAGGACACGCCAGACCUGACUGCUGACUAAGCCCCGGAUGUUUGUCAUCACUGUUCUCUACUGCCCCCCUUUUAGGAAUUUCAAAAACGGAGAGGGCGGGAGUUGGUCUGUGGCUUUCGUAUAAAUUUAUUUUAUACAGA